GGAAUAUUGGACAAUGGGCGCAAGCCUGAUCCAGCCAUGCCGCGUGCAGGAUGACGGUCCUAUGGAUUGUAAACUGCUUUUAUACGAGAAGAAACACUGGUUCGUGAACCAGCUUGACGGUAUCGUAAGAAUAAGGAUCGGCUAACUCCGUGCCAGCAGCCGCGGUAAUACGGAGGAUCCAAGCGUUAUCCGGAAUCAUUGGGUUUAAAGGGUCCGUAGGCGGUCAGAUAAGUCAGUGGUGAAAGCCCAUCGCUCAACGGUGGAACGGCCAUUGAUACUGUCUGACUUGAAUUAUUAGGAAGUAACUAGAAUAUGUAGUGUAGCGGUGAAAUGCUUAGAGAUUACAUGGAAUACCAAUUGCGAAGGCAGGUUACUACUAAUAUAUUGACGCUGAUGGACGAAAGCGUGGGUAGCGAACAGGAUUAGAUACCCUUG
This 435-nucleotide ribosomal RNA is filed under the name uncultured Flavobacterium sp. RNAcentral's name for it is "bacterial SSU rRNA". It matches the Rfam family "Bacterial small subunit ribosomal RNA", at positions 358 to 790 of the family's 1533-position model. The record is from RNAcentral. Lineage: Bacteria; Pseudomonadati; Bacteroidota; Flavobacteriia; Flavobacteriales; Flavobacteriaceae.